UACGUAGGUGACAAGCGUUGUCCGGAUUUACUGGGCGUAAAGAGCGCGCAGGCGGUCGUUCAAGUCGAGUGUGAAAGCCCCCGGCUCAACUGGGGAGGGUCACUCGAUACUGAUCGACUCGAAGGCAGGAGAGGGUAGUGGAAUUCCCGGUGUAGUGGUGAAAUGCGUAGAUAUCGGGAGGAACACCAGUGGCGAAGGCGACUUCCUGGCCUGUUCUUGACGCUGAGGCGCGAAAGCGUGGGGAGCGAACAGG
RNAcentral lists this ribosomal RNA (253 nucleotides) under uncultured bacterium. RNAcentral describes it as "partial 16S ribosomal RNA". It matches the Rfam family "Bacterial small subunit ribosomal RNA", at positions 524 to 776 of the family's 1533-position model. The record is from RNAcentral.